RNAcentral lists this ribosomal RNA (1884 nucleotides) under Escherichia coli. RNAcentral describes it as "partial 23S ribosomal RNA". It matches the Rfam family "Bacterial large subunit ribosomal RNA", at positions 354 to 2226 of the family's 2925-position model. The record is from RNAcentral. Lineage: Bacteria; Pseudomonadati; Pseudomonadota; Gammaproteobacteria; Enterobacterales; Enterobacteriaceae.
GCGAUACAGGGUGACAGCCCCGUACACAAAAAUGCACAUACUGUGAGCUCGAUGAGUAGGGCGGGACACGUGGUAUCCUGUCUGAAUAUGGGGGGACCAUCCUCCAAGGCUAAAUACUCCUGACUGACCGAUAGUGAACCAGUACCGUGAGGGAAAGGCGAAAAGAACCCCGGCGAGGGGAGUGAAAAAGAACCUGAAACCGUGUACGUACAAGCAGUGGGAGCACGCUUAGGCGUGUGACUGCGUACCUUUUGUAUAAUGGGUCAGCGACUUAUAUUCUGUAGCAAGGUUAACCGAAUAGGGGAGCCGAAGGGAAACCGAGUCUUAACUGGGCGUUAAGUUGCAGGGUAUAGACCCGAAACCCGGUGAUCUAGCCAUGGGCAGGUUGAAGGUUGGGUAACACUAACUGGAGGACCGAACCGACUAAUGUUGAAAAAUUAGCGGAUGACUUGUGGCUGGGGGUGAAAGGCCAAUCAAACCGGGAGAUAGCUGGUUCUCCCCGAAAGCUAUUUAGGUAGCGCCUCGUGAAUUCAUCUCCGGGGGUAGAGCACUGUUUCGGCAAGGGGGUCAUCCCGACUUACCAACCCGAUGCAAACUGCGAAUACCGGAGAAUGUUAUCACGGGAGACACACGGCGGGUGCUAACGUCCGUCGUGAAGAGGGAAACAACCCAGACCGCCAGCUAAGGUCCCAAAGUCAUGGUUAAGUGGGAAACGAUGUGGGAAGGCCCAGACAGCCAGGAUGUUGGCUUAGAAGCAGCCAUCAUUUAAAGAAAGCGUAAUAGCUCACUGGUCGAGUCGGCCUGCGCGGAAGAUGUAACGGGGCUAAACCAUGCACCGAAGCUGCGGCAGCGACGCUUAUGCGUUGUUGGGUAGGGGAGCGUUCUGUAAGCCUGCGAAGGUGUGCUGUGAGGCAUGCUGGAGGUAUCAGAAGUGCGAAUGCUGACAUAAGUAACGAUAAAGCGGGUGAAAAGCCCGCUCGCCGGAAGACCAAGGGUUCCUGUCCAACGUUAAUCGGGGCAGGGUGAGUCGACCCCUAAGGCGAGGCCGAAAGGCGUAGUCGAUGGGAAACAGGUUAAUAUUCCUGUACUUGGUGUUACUGCGAAGGGGGGACGGAGAAGGCUAUGUUGGCCGGGCGACGGUUGUCCCGGUUUAAGCGUGUAGGCUGGUUUUCCAGGCAAAUCCGGAAAAUCAAGGCUGAGGCGUGAUGACGAGGCACUACGGUGCUGAAGCAACAAAUGCCCUGCUUCCAGGAAAAGCCUCUAAGCAUCAGGUAACAUCAAAUCGUACCCCAAACCGACACAGGUGGUCAGGUAGAGAAUACCAAGGCGCUUGAGAGAACUCGGGUGAAGGAACUAGGCAAAAUGGUGCCGUAACUUCGGGAGAAGGCACGCUGAUAUGUAGGUGAAGUCCCUCGCGGAUGGAGCUGAAAUCAGUCGAAGAUACCAGCUGGCUGCAACUGUUUAUUAAAAACACAGCACUGUGCAAACACGAAAGUGGACGUAUACGGUGUGACGCCUGCCCGGUGCCGGAAGGUUAAUUGAUGGGGUUAGCGCAAGCGAAGCUCUUGAUCGAAGCCCCGGUAAACGGCGGCCGUAACUAUAACGGUCCUAAGGUAGCGAAAUUCCUUGUCGGGUAAGUUCCGACCUGCACGAAUGGCGUAAUGAUGGCCAGGCUGUCUCCACCCGAGACUCAGUGAAAUUGAACUCGCUGUGAAGAUGCAGUGUACCCGCGGCAAGACGGAAAGACCCCGUGAACCUUUACUAUAGCUUGACACUGAACAUUGAGCCUUGAUGUGUAGGAUAGGUGGGAGGCUUUGAAGUGUGGACGCCAGUCUGCAUGGAGCCGACCUUGAAAUACCACCCUUUAAUGUUUGAUGUUCUAAC